This 227-nucleotide long non-coding RNA is filed under the name Elaeis guineensis (African oil palm). RNAcentral describes it as "long non-coding RNA (EGUI_LNC077246)". Lineage: Eukaryota; Viridiplantae; Streptophyta; Magnoliopsida; Arecales; Arecaceae. The record is from RNAcentral.
ACCAAACCAUCUCGACGAUUAGGUCAACUCUUAACCUAAUCGGGUCAAAUCCAACUGAAUCCAAUUCAAUUGGACUUGAUCCAAAAAUAAUUACUCCAUCAAAUUGAGUUAAUUAGUGAUCAAAUCACUAAUUAAACCUCUCAUAAAUACUGAGUCCAAAUCCGAUGGGUAAUCGGGCAUCAGAAUUCAUUGAUAUGUAACCCUGAUCGAAGAGUCCCAAACCAGUG